CUUUCAGCAACGGAUCUCUUGGUUCCGGCAUCGAUGAAGAACGCAGCGAAAUGCGAUAAGUAAUGUGAAUUGCAGAAUCCAGUGAACCAUCGAAUCUUUGAACGCACAUUGCGCCCCCCGGUACUCCGAGGGGCAUGCCCGUCCGAGCGUC
RNAcentral lists this ribosomal RNA (151 nucleotides) under Leptogium sp. Its description in RNAcentral is "5.8S ribosomal RNA". It matches the Rfam family "5.8S ribosomal RNA". Rfam says of the family: 5.8S ribosomal RNA (5.8S rRNA) is a component of the large subunit of the eukaryotic ribosome. It is transcribed by RNA polymerase I as part of the 45S precursor that also contains 18S and 28S rRNA. Lineage: Eukaryota; Fungi; Ascomycota; Lecanoromycetes; Peltigerales; Collemataceae. The record is from RNAcentral.